CUUCUGAAGUUGACCU
Molecule: ribosomal RNA, 16 nt
Filed under: Fusarium lateritium
Lineage: Eukaryota; Fungi; Ascomycota; Sordariomycetes; Hypocreales; Nectriaceae
Description: partial 28S ribosomal RNA
Source: RNAcentral